Molecule: ribosomal RNA, 254 nt
Filed under: uncultured bacterium
Lineage: Bacteria
Description: partial 16S ribosomal RNA
Rfam family: Bacterial small subunit ribosomal RNA
Source: RNAcentral
UACGUAGGGUCCAAGCGUUAUCCGGAAUUACUGGGCGUAAAGAGUUGCGUAGGUGGCAUGGAAAGCGAAUAGUGAAAGCGUGUGGCUCAACCAUACAUCCAUUAUUUGAACUCCCAAGCUAGAAGAUGAGAGAGGUAGAUGGAAUUCCUGAUGUAGGGGUAAUAUCCGUAGAUAUCAGGAGGAACACCGAUGGCGUAGGCAGUCUACUGGCUCAUUCUUGACACUAAGGCACGAAAGCGUGGGGAGCGAACGGG